Molecule: transfer RNA, 66 nt
Filed under: Escherichia coli
Lineage: Bacteria; Pseudomonadati; Pseudomonadota; Gammaproteobacteria; Enterobacterales; Enterobacteriaceae
Also listed under: 18 other names
Description: tRNA-Lys
Rfam family: tRNA
About the family: Transfer RNA (tRNA) molecules are approximately 80 nucleotides in length.
Source: RNAcentral
UCGUUAGCUCAGUUGGUAGAGCAGUUGACUUUUAAUCAAUUGGUCGCAGGUUCGAAUCCUGCACGA